AACGAACGCUGGCGGCAGGCCUAACACAUGCAAGUCGAACGCUUCAGCAAUGAAGAGUGGCAGACGGGUGAGUAACGCGUGGGAACCUUCCCAGUGGUACGGAAUAGCCCAGGGAAACUUGGGGUAAUACCGUAUAAGCCCUUCGGGGAAAGAUUUAUCGCCAUUGGAUGGGCCCGCGUCGGAUUAGCUUGUUGGUGAGGUAAAAGCUCACCAAGGCGACGAUCCGUAGCUGGUCUGAGAGGAUGAUCAGCCACACUGGGACUGAGACACGGCCCAGACUCCUACGGGAGGCAGCAGUGGGGAAUAUUGGACAAUGGGCGCAAGCCUGAUCCAGCCAUGCCGCGUGAGUGACGAAGGCCUUAGGGUUGUAAAGCUCUUUUGGCGGGGACGAUAAUGACGGUACCCGCAGAAUAAGCUCCGGCUAACUUCGUG
Molecule: ribosomal RNA, 432 nt
Filed under: uncultured bacterium
Lineage: Bacteria
Description: bacterial SSU rRNA
Rfam family: Bacterial small subunit ribosomal RNA
Source: RNAcentral